GAAUCGAGAGAAGACCCUGAAGUGAAGAGAGAGUCUUGAUUUUAUAGAGGUUUCAGGUACAGUUUGGUUUCACUUGAUGGAUAUAUAUGUGUGCCGAGUUAUGAAUGGACGAGGUGAUUGACAUGGAGAUUGGCGCACAAAGUCUAGCUGAAGAUUGAAGAAGACUCGAGGAUGAAUGAAGAGUCAAAGUUGCCUAGCAUAGAAAAUUUCAUGAUGGAUGCCUCUUCUCUUUUUUUGUUUUUAAUUGUAGAAUUUUCUUGAGAUGUAAUGUUGUAGUAACUUGGACUUGAGAUUUUUGUAAAUGGGCCUUGAAUGUUGUGAUGAUAAUGAAUGAAUAUUUGAACA
Long non-coding RNA from Vicia villosa (hairy vetch), 345 nucleotides. RefSeq lists it as uncharacterized. Lineage: Eukaryota; Viridiplantae; Streptophyta; Magnoliopsida; Fabales; Fabaceae. The record is from RefSeq and is a predicted model, not a curated record. The transcript is spliced from 2 exons.